Non-coding RNA from Nicotiana tabacum (common tobacco), 770 nucleotides. NCBI's taxonomy places the organism in Eukaryota, Viridiplantae, Streptophyta, Magnoliopsida, Solanales, Solanaceae. The record is from RefSeq and is a predicted model, not a curated record.
GCUUCAGAAAACGCAAAAAAAGAAUUUCAAAAAGGAGAAGAAGAAGAAGAAGAAGGAGGCUGGAACCAAAUCUUGAAAAAUCUUAAAUACGCACUGGUUCUUACGGAAAUAGCAGUUGACGCGGGCGAGGAUUUCGUUAAUUAGAACGCACAGGUUGAUUGUUCUUGAUGGCUAGGACACGCACACCCUCAUCUGCUGGACGUGGUGCUACCCGGGGUGGCGGUCAAGUUGGCAUUCAUCAAACUAGAAGACAAGUUACUCCUCAACCUGAAGUUAGGAACAUGGGUCAACCCCAAGCUGUUAUGCCAGAUCAAGUGCAAGGGAAGGGAGUUUAGGACGCUCCACUACCAGUGCCAACUGUUGUACCUACUGUUGCCUUACCUGCAGAUGUAGUGACAAAGUUAUUGAAUGUGUUAGAGGAAUUAGUGCCUACUCAGGGUGUAAGUUCAUCUCCUCAGGCUACUUUACAAACACAAGCACCUGCACAGACUCACACUUUCGGGAAUAAGGUGGUAUCCCUGCAAGAGUUCCUAAAAUUAAAAUCACCAAAAUUCACAAGUUCCGAUAAUUCAGCAGAUCCUCAAAGUUUCUUGGAUGGGACACUCAAGGCAUUACAUGCUCUUGGAUGUUCUAGUGAGAGAGCCGUGGAGCUCGCAACAUACAAACUAGAGGAUAUGGCCAACACAUGGUAUGAAACGGUAUUGCUAGGAAGGCCAGCAGGAGCAGCACCACUGACAUGGGAAAAGUUCAGUAAGUUGUUCAUGGAUCAU